CCGCUCAGAUUGAACGCUGGCGGCAGGCCUAACACAUGCAAGUCGAGCGGUAGAGAGAAGCUUGCUUCUCUUGAGAGCGGCGGACGGGUGAGUAAUGCCUAGGAAUCUGCCUGGUAGUGGGGGAUAACGUUCGGAAACGGACGCUAAUCACCGCAUACGUCAUACGGGAGAAAGCAGGGGACCUUCGGGCCUUGCGCUAUCAGAUGAGCCUAGGUCGGAUUAGCUAGUUGGUGGGGUAAUGGCUCACCAAGGCGACGAUCCGUAACUGGUCUGAGAGGAUGAUCAGUCACACUGGAACUGAGACAGCGGUCCAGAUCUCUCUACGGAGAGCGACACGACAUGUGGGGAUAUAUUGGCCAAUGGGCGAAAUCCUGAUCCAGACCAUGCCGCUGUAGUGUGAAGAAGGUCUUCGGUAUUGGAAAGCACUUUAAGUUGAGAGGAAGGGCCAUAACGUAAAAGGUGACGCCUUGAC
Molecule: ribosomal RNA, 472 nt
Filed under: Pseudomonas sp. F6
Lineage: Bacteria; Pseudomonadati; Pseudomonadota; Gammaproteobacteria; Pseudomonadales; Pseudomonadaceae
Description: bacterial SSU rRNA
Rfam family: Bacterial small subunit ribosomal RNA
Source: RNAcentral